CCAAUAGCGUAUAUUAAAGUUGUUGCAGUUAAAAAGCUCGUAGUUGAAUUUCGGGGUCAGUAGAUUGGUCAUGCCACUGGUAUGUACUGGUCUCACUGAUUCCUCCUUCCUGAUGAGCCGUAAUGCCAUUAAUUUGGUGUUGCGAGGAAUCUGGACUGUUACUUUGAAAAAAUUAGAGUGUUUAAAGCAGGCUAACGCUUGAAUACAUUAGCAUGGAAUAAUGAAAUAGGACGUUCGAUCUUAUUUUGUUGGUUUCUAAGAUUGACGUAAUGAUUAAUAGGGAUAGUUGGGGGCAUUAGUAUUCAAUUGUCAGAGGUGAAAUUCUUGGAUUUAUUGAAGACUAACUACUGCGAAAGCAUUUGCCAAGGAUGUUUUCAUUAGUCAAGAACGAAAGUUAGGGGAUCGAAGACGAUCAGAUACCGUCGUAGUCUUAACCAUAAACUAUGCCGACUAGGGAUCGGAUGAUGUUAAUUUUUUAAUGACUCAUUCGGCGCCUUACG
RNAcentral lists this ribosomal RNA (500 nucleotides) under uncultured Glomeromycotina. RNAcentral's name for it is "partial small subunit ribosomal RNA". It matches the Rfam family "Eukaryotic small subunit ribosomal RNA", at positions 591 to 1092 of the family's 1831-position model. The record is from RNAcentral. Lineage: Eukaryota; Fungi; Glomeromycota.